Molecule: ribosomal RNA, 438 nt
Filed under: uncultured bacterium
Lineage: Bacteria
Description: bacterial SSU rRNA
Rfam family: Bacterial small subunit ribosomal RNA
Source: RNAcentral
GCAGUGGGGAAUUUUGGACAAUGGGCGGAAGCCUGAUCCAGCCAUGCCGCGUGAGUGAAGAAGGCCUUCGGGUUGUAAAGCUCUUUCGGUGGGGAAGAAAUUGCACGGGUUAAUACCCUGUGUAGAUGACGGUACCCGACUAAGAAGCACCGGCUAACUACGUGCCAGCAGCCGCGGUAAUACGUAGGGUGCGAGCGUUAAUCGGAAUUACUGGGCGUAAAGCGUGCGCAGGCGGUUUGAUAAGUCAGAUGUGAAAUCCCCGGGCUCAACCUGGGAAUGGCAUUUGAGACUGUCAAGCUGGAGUUUGGCAGAGGGGGGUGGAAUUCCACGUGUAGCAGUGAAAUGCGUAGAGAUGUGGAGGAACACCGAUGGCGAAGGCAGCCCCUGGGCCAAUACUGACGCUCAUGCACGAAAGCGUGGGAGCAACAGGAUUAGAUA